CCGCCGUGACCCCGAGAAGGACGGGGACGGGGGUACGGUCCCGCCGGACCCUGAGGGGAAGCGCCCGCCGCGGCCCCCACUCACCCCGCGCGCCGCCACCACCGCAUCCCCUCCGCGCCGCUUCCGGGAGCGCAGCCAGUUCAAAACAACGCCCGCCCCUAUUGGCUCCGGGCGCCCCGCCCUCCCGAGCGCUAUUGGGGGGCGGCUCCCCCGCCUCUCCUCCUCAAGCUGUGAUUGGCUGGCUCGGACACAGGUGCCCGCUUGGCACCGCCCUCUCCCCGUCCCCGCGCCGCCAUGAGGGGGGGCCGCCAUAAGGGGGCCGCGGCCUCCUGCCCCCGGUGCAUCCCGGGGGCUGCCGUCGGGCCUGAGGAGGGGCUGCCCCGCCGUGUCUGGAGAGAGGAGGCGGUGCUGGAGGCCCGGCCCCUCCGCCGCAGCCCAGCGUCCCUGUCCCUCACAGAGGCCGGGAGAAGCCGUCUGUGGAUGAUGGCAUCACGAGGGCUUUUGAGAUCUACUGGUGAAAAUUGCUGUACUCAUCGCUGUGACCAAAAGAUUAUUUAGGUCCUGCACUUGCUACCCAGAGAAGCCUCAGGAGCGGGGUCUGUGUGCCUUCAGCAGGAGUCACGGCCGGGGGAAGAAGAGAACUCUCCAUAGGCUUAAAACUCAAUGGUGCUAGUUUUUACCGAUUGUUAGUCGUUUCGUUAUCUUUAAUACACACGGGAAGUUGGAAUAACUUCAGAGUCAUUUAAAUACGGGGUUUUUUUUUGAGGCUUCCCAGCAGCAGCCGCCGCGAGGGUCCGUGAGCGCCGGGUUCGGUGCCCGUUCUGACCCGUCCUCCUCUCCCCUGGCUCUGCGCUCUGCUCUGCCCGAGCCAGCUCGGUUACUGCUGGCCCUCGGGCACCCUCUCCCCGGGGAGCAGCGUGCGGCUCCCGU
RNAcentral lists this long non-coding RNA (930 nucleotides) under Calidris pugnax (ruff). RNAcentral's name for it is "lncRNA (ENSCPUG00000006155.1)". The record is from RNAcentral. Lineage: Eukaryota; Metazoa; Chordata; Aves; Charadriiformes; Scolopacidae.